This 873-nucleotide ribosomal RNA is filed under the name Tolypocladium nubicola. RNAcentral's name for it is "LSU rRNA". It matches the Rfam family "Eukaryotic large subunit ribosomal RNA", at positions 34 to 938 of the family's 3401-position model. Lineage: Eukaryota; Fungi; Ascomycota; Sordariomycetes; Hypocreales; Ophiocordycipitaceae. The record is from RNAcentral.
UUAAGCAUAUCAAUAAGCGGAGGAAAAGAAACCAACAGGGAUUGCCCCAGUAACGGCGAGUGAAGCGGCAACAGCUCAAAUUUGAAAUCUGGCCCCCAGGGCCCGAGUUGUAAUUUGCAGAGGAUGCUUUUGGCGCGGCGCCUUCCGAGUUCCCUGGAACGGGACGCCAUAGAGGGUGAGAGCCCCGUCUGGUCGGACGCCAAGCCAGUGUAAAGCUCCUUCGACGAGUCGAGUAGUUUGGGAAUGCUGCUCUAAAUGGGAGGUAUAUGUCUUCUAAAGCUAAAUAUAGGCCAGAGACCGAUAGCGCACAAGUAGAGUGAUCGAAAGAUGAAAAGCACUUUGAAAAGAGGGUUAAACAGUACGUGAAAUUGUUGAAAGGGAAGCACUUGUGACCAGACUUGGGCCCGGUGAAUCAUCCAGCGUUCUCGCUGGUGCACUUCGCCGGGCUCAGGCCAGCAUCAGUUCGCCGCGGGGGACAAAGGCUUCGGGAACGUGGCUCCCUCGGGAGUGUUAUAGCCCGUUGCACAAUACCCUGCGGUGGACUGAGGUUCGCGCUCCGCAAGGAUGCUGGCGUAAUGGUCACCAGUGACCCGUCUUGAAACACGGACCAAGGAGUCGUCUUCGUAUGCGAGUGUUCGGGUGUCAAACCCCUACGCGUAAUGAAAGUGAACGCAGGUGAGAGCUUCGGCGCAUCAUCGACCGAUCCUGAUGUUCUCGGAUGGAUUUGAGUAAGAGCAUACGGGGCCGGACCCGAAAGAAGGUGAACUAUGCCUGUAUAGGGUGAAGCCAGAGGAAACUCUGGUGGAGGCUCGCAGCGGUUCUGACGUGCAAAUCGAUCGUCAAAUAUGGGCAUGGGGGCGAAAGACUAAUCGA